CUUAUACUAUCCACCAUUCAAUAAGACCGGUAUUUAAACAAGAACCUGCAUUACAUAGUCUCUAGUGGGGACCAAAUAAGAUACGUGAUACCAGGCUACCCCCAAUUGCCCUGCGCUAGGGUCUACCCACCAAGCCUUGCUUAGGCAAGCGUCCUAACCUAUACGUCCUUUUCACACACGACGAUACUGAGUUAUUAUGUCGGAUUCCCCUUCACAAAGCCAAGACUUCCAGGCGAUGAUUAACGCUGCCGUGGUAGCAUCCAUGGAGAAGGUGAUAACUAAAAUGCUAACGCAAGUUCUGCAUGAACCUACUACACAAGCUAUGGGGCCGAAACCGCAUGACACGGA
This is a non-coding RNA of Pelobates cultripes (western spadefoot toad), 348 nucleotides long. NCBI's taxonomy places the organism in Eukaryota, Metazoa, Chordata, Amphibia, Anura, Pelobatidae. The record is from the annotation of a GenBank genome assembly.